CUGGACUGGAAACAUGAACUCUGAUUUCUCUCCACAGAUGCUUCCAGAGCUGCUAAACUUUUUCAUCAAUUUCUGUUUAGGAUCCUGAAACCUGAAGGGGAAUGGCAAAAGCUGAGAUUCCUAAACUCCUAUUUCUGGGACUCCUUUGCCACUUUACAGAUCAUCACAAACUCCUGUUCCUGAACACUGACCAAAUCAGAAGACUCUCUCCUAAAGGUUGUAACUGAACCUUUAUAUAAAACAUGCAGGGUCUCAUCAGUGCCAGCACUAACCCAAGCCAGAGAACAUCAACAUUGUUCCAGCCCCUGCAUAAUGACUGAUCAAACAGCAUCAAAUAUGCGGAUUGAAGAUGAGUGCUUUUAACCUAAAGAAGAUUACAAUGAGGGUCUGAAGGCAGAACUGAUGUUAUGAAGGCAUUAUAUUUAAUAUUUUUUGUGAACUUGAAUAUGGAAAUACCUAUUCUGAGGAAGGGUCACCGGACCCGAAACAUUAACUCUUCACCGAUGCUGCCAAACCUGCUCAGCUUUUCCAGUAAUUUCUGUGUGCGAGUGUGAGUGUGUGUGAGUGUGAAAAUACCUAGAUUGCUUUAUUUUUUAAAAAGAAAUCAAAAACUUGAAACAUUUAUGAACAAUUAUUUCUUGGAAAACACCUGGUUCCACUGUUGAGACCCAUCACUGCUUUUACUUUUCUCCUUUUUGGUUGGGAAUUGAGAGUUGCAGUUAAGAAUUGAACUUUGAGCAGCACGUUUUUUUUAAAAAAGGAGAGAACAAAAGACAGAUGUUUGUGUUUGGGAACUGGCCUGGAAAGAUAAUGUUGGUUAGGGGAGGGCAUGUAUUUGUUUCAGCACCGGGAUGUGCCUGCGCUCGGUCUGGCAGCUGGUUGGAUGUUGAAUUGGUCAAAGGAGGAGUGGUGAUGACCAGCCAAUCACAGAGAGUGUGACCAGCCAAUCAUAGAGAAUGUUAAAGGGAUAAAAACGAAGUGAACCGGCUCUGAUUAGGCUUUCGGUAGGGGGCAGUUUUGUCUUGGAACUGGCUAAAUUUCCAGAUUGGGUAGGUUUAGGUUUUGCGCACACUGCCCCUCCACCUCCUUCCUCCAUCCACCCUUCACACCCAUUCCCCCUCCCACUCAUUAUUUUCCAGUUAUCGACUUAUUCAAAGCUCAGA
This is a non-coding RNA of Chiloscyllium plagiosum (whitespotted bambooshark), 1163 nucleotides long. NCBI's taxonomy places the organism in Eukaryota, Metazoa, Chordata, Chondrichthyes, Orectolobiformes, Hemiscylliidae. The record is from RefSeq and is a predicted model, not a curated record.